CUGGGACAAGCCCUGGAAACGGGGUCUAAUACCGGAUACUGACCCGCUUGGGCAUCCAAGCGGUUCGAAAGCUCCGGCGGUGCAGGAUGAGCCCGCGGCCUAUCAGCUUGUUGGUGAGGUAAUGGCUCACCAAGGCGACGACGGGUAGCCGGCCUGAGAGGGCGACCGGCCACACUGGGACUGAGACACGGCCCAGACUCCUACGGGAGGCAGCAGUGGGGAAUAUUGCACAAUGGGCGAAAGCCUGAUGCAGCGACGCCGCGUGAGGGAUGACGGCCUUCGGGUUGUAAACCUCUUUCAGCAGGGAAGAAGCGAAAGUGACGGUACCUGCAGAAGAAGCGCCGGCUAACUACGUGCCAGCAGCCGCGGUAAUACGUAGGGCGCGAGCGUUGUCCGGAAUUAUUGGGCGUAAAGAGCUCGUAGGCGGCUUGUCACGUCGGUUGUGAAAGCCCGGGGCUUAACCCCGGGUCUGCAGUCGAUACGGGCAGGCUAGAGUUCGGUAGGGGAGAUCGGAAUUCCUGGUGUAGCGGUGAAAUGCGCAGAUAUCAGGAGGAACACCGGUGGCGAAGGCGGAUCUCUGGGCCGAUACUGACGCUGAGGAGCGAAAGCGUGGGGAGCGAACAGGAUUAGAUACCCUGGUAGUCCACGCCGUAAACGG
RNAcentral lists this ribosomal RNA (658 nucleotides) under Streptomyces sp. D152. RNAcentral describes it as "bacterial SSU rRNA". It matches the Rfam family "Bacterial small subunit ribosomal RNA", at positions 138 to 809 of the family's 1533-position model. The record is from RNAcentral. Lineage: Bacteria; Bacillati; Actinomycetota; Actinomycetes; Kitasatosporales; Streptomycetaceae.